ACUUAAUUUUCCAUUAUUUCCAGAUCAUGACAAGGAACACACAACGGGGAUGACCGGUCGGCAGGGGAUGCUCCUGAUCCUUUCUCUGAUGUUGCGGAGGUCCAUAUUUGCUCAGUUCUUCUUUUUUUUGUACUGUUUUAUGGACGUUUGAGCUUGAAUACUGUUUGUUUAUUGUCUUUGUAUGUUUCAUUGCCAUAGUUAAUGAAAAUAGAAUACUGUCAACUUUAAAAACCUCAUAAAAGCUUAUCAAAAUCAUCAGAAUAGGAUUGAUUGAUUGAUUGUAUAUUCGUUUACGUCCCAUUCGAAAACAUAUCUCAUAUAAAGACGUCACCAUGUGAAGGUGAAGCUUAAAAUUUUGAGCAUUACUCGGCAUGUAGGGCAGUUGAGCAGUGUGGUGUGGGAUCUGUUUUGUAGCAACACCCGCCUUGGUAUAGGGUCUUGGUGUUUAGGGCCUUAUCUCAUCAGUAAUAGAAAUGACAUGGAACCAGUCUUGAACUUUUUGGCUUAAAAUUAUGUAUAUUUUAAUUAUUUUUAUAUUCACCUUGAAGCUGUAUCUUUUUUUCAAAUGCCAAAAAAAAACCGGUACGGAAAUGCUUUGUCAAAAAAUGAAAUUAAUAUCUGUAAAAACAGGUAUUAAAAAUGUUUUUAAUGUCAUUUGAAAAUAAAGAACAAUAUUUACACUCAAAAAAGUCGAAUCAAACAAUAUAAAUCUUUAUUAGAGCAAACAAGGACAGCUAACAGCAUCAUAGGUUGGGUCUAGUGCAGUUGAGGAGUAGGUAAAUCAUGUCUACAGGUACUGCUUGUCGUGAUGGGAUAAAGAAAAAAGUCGUAAAUAAGCCAGGUUGUAAAUAAUGGCUUAACAAUUCAUAUGUAAACCAUCACUCAGCAUUCAGCUAAAUGAUACGUCGUGUUGCCUGACAAGGACAUUGUAUCAACGGCCAGAAUUCAAUGUUGUUUAUCGGUACAAAAAAAAUAUUAAGUUCUUUAAAAUAAAUAAUUACAAAUUUCCUUUGGAAGGAAAUUAUCAACCAAUUAUAUCCGUCAAAAACCAUACAGUAACAUUUUUUGAAUGGUUGAGCGUUUACAUAUUCAAAGUUAUAGAAAAUAAAUUCAUUUGUUUAAGCGUUAAAUCAAAAUUUUCCAACAUAAAUAACUAAAUCUUUGUUGAAAUAUUCUAAGGGAGUUUUCGUAAAUUGAAAUAUAUGAAAAAAGAACUCUUAGCCAAAAAUAAGGAUCCAAUCCAUCUACGGUCAGCCCACCAACGACUUGCUCUGAGGAUCCUUGCAUAGAAGGCAACCUGCAAACAUUGACACAGAAUAAAUAUCGCUCCAUUAAUUGUGAAUACAAACAAGGGCAGGGGUAUCGUGAUGAACACCUGACAGCUGGGUGGUAUAAAUCUAGUUCCCCCAUGCUAAACCGGUGCCCAAAACUAUUAAGGUAAAGCUCAAUAUACCCUGUAUGGAUGACUGGCAGGAAGUCAUCCUACUAGAGGAGAUGGUAUUGUUACAAGACAGGCCUGCCAGAGAGGGUUCCACAGCUGUUGUUCUAAGUCCUAUGACAUCAAAUUAAAGAACUGUGGCAAAUACACAGCCUACUGUCCACAGGGAGUGGAUACUUGUCCCUCGUGGUGAUGAACCAUGAGAAUGAUAAAGUUGAUGAAAGAAAAUCAGAUGCAUAUGGAAUAGUAAAACAGGCUCUACUGUCGCUAUCCACUGGACAGAAACCAAAACACAGAGGAUAAAUAACCUUGCUUAUACGACAGAAGAUCUUCCACCAUACAAGCCUUGAUAUCCUUACAUCUAAAUAUGAAUUCAGAUAUCAUGUUUCUUUUGACAUUGAUUGUUGUAAAAUACAUUCAUACUAACAUUCAUACUAAUGUUAAUUAUUAAUUUGGUCAUCUUAACAGUCAUCAACAGUCACAGAAAAAAAAAUAUUGUUGGAAUGCAUAUGGCUUUAAUCUUUUUUGUCAUUCUAAAGAACUCAGGCUUUUGUAAAAUAUUAAACAACUGAAGGAUAUAGCUAUAACUGGUUGAUUCAUGUAUUUAAAAGAUAUUUUCGAAGAUUGUUAUGUAAAAUUUGCUUACAUUUUGAGAUAUUAGUUCAUAAUAAACAAUGAAUUAGAUUUUUAAAAAUAAAAAUAAGCACCAUGUUUAUCUGAGGACAAACACUUUUGAAAUGAAGAAUAAGUUGCGCCAAAUCUUGGUUAUAAGGACAGAACUCAAGUAAAAAAAAUGUAAUAAAAGGAGACGAAUCUUUUAUCACACAAGAUAAUAGACUAUCCAGUAAAAUUAUGUUUUUCCUGCUGUCCUUGUUUAGAUCUUAUAUUUUAAAAAAAUCCAGAACUUUGUCUCCUUUGUAUAUGUUUCUUACACAAUAUUUACUUUGCCGUCAAAAUUUUAGUUGAUUUUAUCCUAUUAAAAA
Molecule: long non-coding RNA, 2421 nt
Organism: Saccostrea cuccullata (small rock oyster)
Lineage: Eukaryota; Metazoa; Mollusca; Bivalvia; Ostreida; Ostreidae
Exons: 5
Source: RefSeq, a predicted model, not a curated record